Molecule: ribosomal RNA, 257 nt
Filed under: uncultured bacterium
Lineage: Bacteria
Description: partial 16S ribosomal RNA
Rfam family: Bacterial small subunit ribosomal RNA
Source: RNAcentral
CACCACAUAAUGAGAGUAGCGCACUGGUGAGUAACACGUGGGAACAUACCUUGAAGUGGGGGACAACAGAGGGAAACUUCUGCUAAUACCGCAUAAUCCCUGAGGGGGAAAGAUUUAUCGCUUUAAGAUUGGCCCGCGGAAGAUUAGGUAGUUGGUGGGGUAAAGGCCUACCAAGCCGACGAUCUAUAGCUGGUCUGAGAGGACGAACAGCCACAUUGGAACUGAGACACGGUCCAGACUCCUACGGAAGGCAGCAG